GCCAGGCGUGGUGACGUGCGCCUGUAAUCCCAGCUACUUGGGAGGCUGAGGCAGUAUAAUUGCUUGAACCCAGGAUGCGGAGGUCGCAGUGAGCUGAGAUCGUGCCACUGCACUCCAGCCUGGGCAACAGAGCAAGACUCUGCCUCGG
This 148-nucleotide non-coding RNA is filed under the name Nomascus leucogenys (northern white-cheeked gibbon). The record is from Rfam by way of RNAcentral. Lineage: Eukaryota; Metazoa; Chordata; Mammalia; Primates; Hylobatidae.